Molecule: ribosomal RNA, 440 nt
Filed under: uncultured bacterium
Lineage: Bacteria
Description: partial 16S ribosomal RNA
Rfam family: Bacterial small subunit ribosomal RNA
Source: RNAcentral
CCUACGUGAGGCAGCAGUGGGGAAUAUUGCACAAUGGGGGGAACCCUGAUGCAGCGACGCCGCGUGAGUGAAGAAGUAUUUCGGUAUGUAAAGCUCUAUCAGCAGGGAAGAAAAUGACGGUACCUGACUAAGAAGCCCCGGCUAACUACGUGCCAGCAGCCGCGGUAAUACGUAGGGGGCAAGCGUUAUCCGGAUUUACUGGGUGUAAAGGGAGCGCAGACGGCUGUGCAAGUCUGGAGUGAAAGGCGGGGGCCCAACCCCCGGACUGCUCUGGAAACUGUAAAGCUGGAGUGCAGGAGAGGUAAGGGGAAUUCCUAGUGUAGCGGUGCAAGGUGGAGAGAGUAGGAGGAACACCAGUGGCGAAGGCGGCUUACUGGACUGCAACUGACGUUGAGGCUCGAAAGCGUGGGGAGCAAACAGGAUGAGAUACCCCUGUAGUC